UGCUCAACAUCAUUCAACUUCAGAGAAAUGUAAAUUAAAACCACCUCAACAGAACACUGACAACAUUAUGUUUCCAUAAGGAUGUGAGGCGAUUGUGUCUGACGUGGAUUGUCAAUGGGAGAGUAAAUCAUUACUGUCGUUUUGAAAAAGAGUUUGGUAGUUUUCUUUAUAAAGUUAAGCAAAUACCUACCAUAUGCCUCAACAAUUCUUCUCCCAGAUAUUAACCAAAGAGAAAUGAAAACACAUGCCUGUUGAUAGAUGUGUAUAUACAUGUUCAUAUUAGCAAUAAAUAGUAGACACGUUAUAAUAGUAAAAAGUAGAAAAAACCCAAAUGUCUAACAAGAUGAAUAGAUAAACUCAGUAUAGUAAAUCCCUAAAAUGGAAGCAAAUAAAAACACAUUAAAAAUAAAUGACUAAUUAAGUCAGUCAAGCUGAUGCACACAAUAAUAUGGAUGAAUCUACAAAAUAAGAUAAUUCUUUAGCUGAGCUAAAGAAGUCAGAUACAAAAGAUUGUGUACUGUAAGAUGCUGCUUACAUAAAGUUUUAGAAGGGGAAAAUCUAAUAUAUCAGAAAGCAGAUUAGUGAUUUCCUGGAGCCCUGUCAGGGAUCACUAGGGAAAGAACACCAGAAAAGUUUUUAGGAUAAUGGGGUGUUCUAUAGGUUGACUGAAGUGAUGCUAGUGGGGAUAUAUACAUUUGUCAACAUUUUACUAAAUGGCACACUUAUAAAGGCACACUUUAUUAUAUAUAAAUUAUGACAGUACAAUGAACUGUUAAAAGUUAAGUUCAAUGUGCAGAUUUCCCAGGCAGCCCUCUAGGAAAUUUUCAUUAUCUUCCCUCUCCAACUGAUACUCCUCUUGCUUCCAUUAAUUUUUGUCUUUAGCAAUUAACACUUGUUAGUUUGCUCUACAUUUAUUUAUUUCUUGUUAUCUAUGUGCUACACUACUAAAAUAAAAGUUCUGUGGAAGCAAUCAGGCUGCUAUUAUUUAAGUAACAAAAAUUUUAAGAACUAAUUCAAUAUGGAAAAUUAGGUAAUGAUGAAACAAUAAAAUAGUAUCUAAUGCUGGGUGAUAUAUUUAUAUGUCUCAUCUAUUCUGAGAUCUUUCCUGUUCUUAGAGUAUAAAUCAUAUCAUCCUGUGGAAGCAUAUUUCUACUACUAAGUAUAAUAAGACAUCUCCUUUAUACCUGCAGGUAAAAACUCCAAAGCAACUGGCCUUUUCAUAAAUUUUCCUCUUAUAGUCUCUUUCCCACUUUCCUAGUUCUUGAGAUAAAUGGGGAAGACAGUUGUGCAAUCCUCCUUCAGCUGAAAAACAAAUGACAUGAUGUGCAUAUAACAUUAUCUCCACUCCAACACAAUUUUAAGGGCUUAAUACAUUCAUUCUACCUCCUGAGUAUUUGGAAAACCCUGGGACUUCUUUGAAUGGUUUCAUUAUUUGGUUUCAAAAGAUAUAUACACUUAUAUCAAAUUGAUUUCCAUUUUAUGAAUUCCAAGACUUUCUUAUGUCUACAGCUUCUUUAAAUAGUCAACAGCCUUUUUCCCUGUCCAUCAAACAUGAUGUAGUAGAAAGACCUUGUUCUGAGCCAGAGAAAGGUCAGUUAGAAUAUUAGCUCAACCACCUCUCUUGAGAAAUGUUAACAGCAUACCCUUAUAUUGGCUCUUCAGUUUACUCAUCUGAUCAAAGAAGAUAAUAAUAUCAACUGUAGACUGUUGCAUAUAUUUGCUGCAAAGGGAGGAAGGCUCACUUGACCUUCAUCCUUUAGUUUUCAUGUAGCUUGAGGUGACUGAUAAGCCCAACUAAAGUGAACAAUUGGAAAUUCAUUAGCUGACAUAACAAGGGGGUGAUGGUAGGGAUUGUUCCUUGAUCAGAUUCUCCCUGUCUUUCAGCCUAACAUUGCUCUGUUUAGUAUUCUAGGCCUUUCACUGUAGUUCCCCUCAUGGUUCCAGAAUAGCUGUUCCCAACAUGAUAAUCAUGGGGAAUUGACCAGAGGUAGAAAAUAAAAGUAUGUUUUGUGUACCUUUUUUAAGAAAGCAAGCAGAGUUUCCACAAAAUCCCUACCAGGAUUCUUCUCGCAAAGUCUGGCCAAAAGGGCUCCAUUUGUAUCUCCCUGCCAGCCUAAGGCAAUCACUGGACAAGGAGAAUGGAGCUGCUAUGAUUGAUUUCCACUCAUCAAGAUUCAACAUAUGGGACCAGGGAGGUACCAUCCUCCCUUUCAAGAAACACUUAUUCUCACCAGAAAAAAUAUCAGAGUCCUCUUAGCAAGGAUGAUGUAGGCUAUUUGGUAGAAAAUCAAGGAGAUAUUUACUUUUAAGGAAUCUGUCACCACCUGACAUCUAGUGACAGUAUUAUUGCUGACCCAGAAUUCUAACUGUUGACACAUUGAUAGUAUCAUCAUUUCUCUAGGACAUAGAGAGGGUGUGUGUGUAUGAGUGUGUGAGUGAAACAGAGAAAGAGAGAAAUGCAAGGAGAGAAUGCAGAAAUAAUAAAUUAUUAAUUUAUGAUGAGAAUUGUAAACUGUCACAUUAGACAGAAAUAUUGCUGCUGUUGUUUGGGGCAUUUUUCUGACUCUGACCCUAGGAUUUUUAUCCUCAGAAUGUUGCUUGGAAAACCGGACCUCUAACUCAGAAUUGUUAUUUAACCUUAAGGAAAUUUUUUGUUUUCUUUACUGAGAGUGAGUUGAGGAUAGAUAGCCCUGUGGAUGCCUAAACCUUGGAGAGUAGACUUGCGGUGGGAGCAGAGAUGUUUCUAUCCAUACCCUUUGAAUAGUGAAAGCCUUUUGCACUUUUUUUUUUUUAUCUCAAGUUCAGUGAUUUUUCACAUCUGCUCUGGGUAACAUUAUCUUCUGGGAGAUAUGUCAGAAUUUCUAAAACCAUAGACCAUUAGCCAAAUAGCAAAAUUAUAUCUGUCCUUUACAUUUUGCUUCCACUCUAAGUGAAGCAAUUUGUGGUUGUUAUUUAGACAGGUUAUACUGAAAUUGACUUGGUUUCUGCUUACUGAAUUAGACCUGUCGCUUACCUAGGUCCCAGAAAUUAUUCCUAAAUUAUUUUAGUUGAAAUUAAGACUGAGCUCAACUCCUGGUUUCCUUGCACAGAAAGUUAAUUAUAAAAAGAAUAUGAAUUUUACUAAGUAAUUCAAAUUGGUAAGUUUAUUCAUUUACCUACAUAUCCAUCAGGGGACACUUCACUGGUAUCCCCGUAUAUUCUCAACAGAGUGGAUUAUUUUAAGGAUUGUUUGCAGUUGUACAUGUGAAAAAUCUAUUAGUUGACUGACAUGACUGCCCUGUGCAUAGUAGGCACUCAGUAAAUGUGAGAUGAUACUGUUAUUUUAUUCUGGAAAAUUAGAAUAAUGAUACCUACCUCUUGGUGUUAUUAUAGAAAUGCAAUUAAAUAUCAUCCAUAUAGAUGCCAAGUACCGUACUGAGCUUCUAUGCAGGAACUCUAUAAAUAAUAAUUCCAUUCAUUUCCCUGCCUGCUCAACAAAGCAUCCAGAGGAGUAAUAACAUUGUCUUCAUGAUCCUACAACACCCCAGCAAAAUAAUUUCCUCUUCUUGGAAGAGAGAAACCAAUAAAGUGUGGUUUCAAUUUAUUUAGAGUAUUUUCUCCUUCUGACAGCAUAAUAUAAGCCCCUGCUAUGAAAUAACCUUUCUGCUGAUCUAUGUAUAAUGGUUACUCAGUACUACCUAGUCCUUUUUGGAUAAAUAAAUUAAAAAUACUCAGUUUCAAGAAUGCAACAAGCAUACCAGUGUGAAGAAACUACCCAUUACAGACUCGGCAGAGUUACUGUGAAUAGCAGCGGGUGUUGGCGAGUGCAAGCUCUAAGCAUUUAUAACUCUGAGUGUUACUGCCUGCUUGAAAGAAUUCGCUAUUUACUUCCAACUGAGGACAAUUAGAAUUAAAUCCCAAAGCCACACAUCAGGUAAGUGAAAGAGAACAGCAGAGGAAGAGUUACUUUAGGUAGCAUGAUUCUUACCUUUUUUAGUUAGUUAGGUGAAGUAUAAAAUAUCAAUAAUCAUGUUCUUUAAUGCUGGAUAAUUGCAUUUGGGAAGCUUGCCUUAUCUUUUCCAAGAUAUCCCUGAGAAAGUUCUGUAAUGCUGCAUAGAAUUGCAUUUCUAUGACUGAUUAGAGUGAGGCAUUUCCUUUGCACACCCAGAGGUAAAAAUUCAAAAGCAAUUUUCACAAAUUGUAACAUUCUAGAUUAGAGGAUGUUGAGAGUACAAUUUCCAUGCAAUUUAAGAUUUCUUUUCUGACUAGAAUUUUUUUUUUUUUUUUGGUCUUUUCUAAGGCUGCACCCGCAGCACAUAGAGGUUCCCAGGUUAGGGGUCUAAUCGGAGCUGUAGCUGCCAGCCUAUGCCAGAGCCACAACAACACAGGAUCUGAGCCAUGCCUGCGACCUACACCACAGCUCAUGGCAACGCUGGAUCCUUAACCCACUGAGCGAGGCCAGGGAUCAAACCUGCAACCUCAUGCUUCCUAGUUGGAUUCAUUAAUCACUGAGCCACAAUGGGAAUUCCUGACUAGAAAAUUUGUGAGCUUCUGUUGCAGAUGGAUAUUGAUUUUAGAUGAUUGUAGACGGACAAAGAAACUAGAAAAGUAUUUGUGUUUUCAUAUACCUUUUAUUUAUAGGGAGUGUGAGUUGCAUUAAAUGUCACCAAGUUAUCUUCUCCAAAUGAAUGAUAGUUACUAAUCUUGUUCCAGUUCAUAUGAAAACAGUUAGCUUUGAUUCUACAACUGCCAUACUUCAAGGCUUGGGGGGCAUGAGUGAUGGAAGUCUGGGUUUAAAAGUUAUAAAUUCAUUUAUAUAUCUAUUAGUGGUUUUAUGAAAAGGUUUAUAAAUU
This 4832-nucleotide long non-coding RNA is filed under the name Sus scrofa (pig). RNAcentral's name for it is "lncRNA (ENSSSCG00000057296.1)". Lineage: Eukaryota; Metazoa; Chordata; Mammalia; Artiodactyla; Suidae. The record is from RNAcentral.